This 492-nucleotide ribosomal RNA is filed under the name uncultured bacterium. RNAcentral describes it as "partial 16S ribosomal RNA". It matches the Rfam family "Bacterial small subunit ribosomal RNA", at positions 29 to 507 of the family's 1533-position model. The record is from RNAcentral.
AGUGAACGCUGGCGGUAGGCCUAACACAUGCAAGUCGAACGGCAGCAUAGUAAGAGCUUGCUCUUACGGGUGGCGAGUGGCGGACGGGUGAGGAAUACAUCGGAAUCUACUUUUUCGUGGGGGAUAACGUAGGGAAACUUACGCUAAUACCGCAUACGACCUACGGGUGAAAGCAGGGGAUCUUCGGACCUUGGGCGAUUGAAUGAGCCGAUGUCGGAUUAGCUAGUUGGCGGGGUAAAGGCCCACCAAGGCGACGAUCCGUAGCUGGUCUGAGAGGAUGAUCAGCCACACUGGAACUGAUACACGGUCCAGACUCCUACGGGAGGCAGCAGUAGGGAAUAUUGGACAAUGGGCGCAAGCCUGAUCCAGCCAUACCGCGUGGGUGAAGAAGGCCUUCGGGUUGUAAAGCCCUUUUGUUGGGAAAGAAAAGCAGCAGGUUAAUACCCCGCUGUUCUGACGGUACCCAAAGAAUAAGCACCGGCUAACUUCGUG